UACGUAGGGCCCGAGCGUUGUCCGGAAUUAUUGGGCGUAAAGGGCUCGUAGGCGGUUUGUCGCGUCGGGAGUGAAAACACCGGGCUUAACUCGGUGCUUGCUUUCGAUACGGGCAGACUGGAGGCAUGCAGGGGAGAACGGAAUUCCUGGUGUAGCGGUGAAAUGCGCAGAUAUCAGGAGGAACACCGGUGGCGAAGGCGGUUCUCUGGGCAUGUCCUGACGCUGAGGAGCGAAAGUGUGGGGAGCGAACAGG
Molecule: ribosomal RNA, 253 nt
Filed under: uncultured bacterium
Lineage: Bacteria
Description: partial 16S ribosomal RNA
Rfam family: Bacterial small subunit ribosomal RNA
Source: RNAcentral